Molecule: ribosomal RNA, 480 nt
Filed under: uncultured bacterium
Lineage: Bacteria
Description: bacterial SSU rRNA
Rfam family: Bacterial small subunit ribosomal RNA
Source: RNAcentral
AUUGAACGCUGGCGGCAUGGCUAAAACAUGCAAGUCGAGCGCGAAAGAGGAGCAAUCCUCAAGUAGAGCGGCGAAAGGGUGAGUAAUACGUUCCUUCGUACCUCGAGGUCAGGGAUAGCCAGGGGAAACUCUGGGUAAUACCUGAUGUGGUCGAGAGAUCAAAGGCUUGCCGCCUCGAGAGCGGGGAACGUCCUAUCAGCUAGUUGGUGAGGUAACGGCUCACCAAGGCUUUGACGGGUAGCGGGUGUGAGAGCAUGGCCCGCCACAUCGGAACUGAGACACUGUCCGGACUCCUACGGGAGGCUGCAGUAACGAAUCUUCCGCAAUGCGCGCAAGCGUGACGGAGCAAUGCCGCGUGCAGGAUGAAGCCCUUCGGGGUGUAAACUGCUGUCAGGGUUUAGAAACACAAUGAUCAAACCCAAAGGAAGAGACGACCAACUCUGUGCCAGCAGUCGCGGUAAUACAGAGGUCUCGAGCGUU